RNAcentral lists this ribosomal RNA (409 nucleotides) under bacterium enrichment culture clone ALO1_GLFRUDD03FTAAB. RNAcentral describes it as "bacterial SSU rRNA". It matches the Rfam family "Bacterial small subunit ribosomal RNA", at positions 9 to 419 of the family's 1533-position model. The record is from RNAcentral.
GAGUUUGAUCUUGGCUCAGAUUGAACGCUGGCGGCAUGCCUUACACAUGCAAGUCGAACGGCAGCACGGGAGCUUGCUCCUGGUGGCGAGUGGCGAACGGGUGAGUAAUGCAUCGGAACGUAUCCUGGAGUGGGGGAUAACGUAGCGAAAGUUACGCUAAUACCGCAUAUUCUGUGAGCAGGAAAGCGGGGACCUUCGGGCCUCGCGCUCUUGGAGCGGCCGAUGUCGGAUUAGCUAGUUGGUGAGGUAAAGGCUCACCAAGGCGACGAUCCGUAGCAGGUCUGAGAGGAUGAUCUGCCACACUGGAACUGAGACACGGUCCAGACUCCUACGGGAGGCAGCAGUGGGGAAUUUUGGACAAUGGGGGCAACCCUGAUCCAGCCAUGCCGCGUGAGUGAAGAAGGCCUGG